Chitinophaga sancti is the source of this 1200-nucleotide non-coding RNA. Lineage: Bacteria; Pseudomonadati; Bacteroidota; Chitinophagia; Chitinophagales; Chitinophagaceae. The record is from Rfam.
CAAUAUAGUCAGUGGGGGUAGACGCGAAACUUUGUGAUCUAUCCAUGGGCAGGUUGAAGGUUUGGUAACACAAACUGGAGGACCGAACUCAUUAGCGUUGAAAAGCUAUGGGAUGACCUGUGGAUAGGGGUGAAAGGCCAAUCAAACUGAGAGAUAGCUCGUUCUCCCCGAAAUGUUUUUAGGAACAGCCUCGUAUACAGAGUUAUCAUAGAGGUAGAGCUACUAAUUGGGCUAGGGGGCUUCACCGCCUACCAAACCCUAAUAAACUCCGAAUGCUAUGAUAUUAUCUACGGGAGUGAGGCUGUGGGCGCUAAGGUCCAUGGCCGAGAGGGAAAUAACCCAGAUUAACAGCUAAGGUCCCUAAUCGUAUGUUAAGUUGAACAAACGCAGUUCAAAUCCUAUAACAGCCAGGAUGUUGGCUUGGAAGCAGCCAUUCAUUUAAAGAGUGCGUAACAGCUCACUGGUCGAGGGUUUGAGCACGGAAAAUAAUCGGGCAUCAAACAUACAACCGAAGCUUUAGGAUUAUCGUAAGAUAAUCGGUAGGGGAGCAUUCUAAACUGCAUUGAAGGUGUAUCGCGAGGUAUGCUGGAGCGUUUAGAAAAGAAAAUGUAGGCAUAAGUAACGAUAAAAUAGGUGAAAAACCUAUUCGCCGUAAGACUAAGGGUUCCUGAUCAACGCUAAUCGGAUCAGGGUUAGUCGGGUCCUUAGGCAAAGCCGAGAGGCGUAGCUGAUGGCAAACUGGUGAAUAUUCCAGUACCUGCUAUAAUUUCGAUGGGGUAACGGAGUAGUGAACAGACCGCGCACUUACGGAAUAGUGCGUUAAAGGGUGUAGUUAUAUCUUAUAUAGGAAAAUCCGUAUGAGAUGAUGAACCUGAUAGUACGACAAAGCUUCGGCUGCGUUGAUAGUGUCUCUAAACAGACUUCCAAGAAAAACCUCUAAGGUUAGGUUAUAGCAGCCCGUACCGUAAACCGACACAGGUAGUCGAGGAGAGUAUCCUCAGGCGCUCGAGUGAUCCGUGGUAAAGGAACUAGGCAAAUUGACGCUGUAACUUCGGGAUAAGGCGUACCGCAGUAAUGCGGUCUCAGUAAAAUGGUCCAACCAACUGUUUAACAAAAACACAGGGCCCUGCAAAAUCGAAAGAUGACGUAUAGAGCCUGAUACCUGCCCGGUGCUGGAAGGUUAAGGAAGGAUGUUCGGGG